AUAAUGGGUCAGCGACUUAUAUUCUGUAGCAAGGUUAACCGAAUAGGGGAGCCGAAGGGAAACCGAGUCUUAACUGGGCGUUAAGUUGCAGGGUAUAGACCCGAAACCCGGUGAUCUAGCCAUGGGCAGGUUGAAGGUUGGGUAACACUAACUGGAGGACCGAACCGACUAAUGUUGAAAAAUUAGCGGAUGACUUGUGGCUGGGGGUGAAAGGCCAAUCAAACCGGGAGAUAGCUGGUUCUCCCCGAAAGCUAUUUAGGUAGCGCCUCGUGAAUUCAUCUCCGGGGGUAGAGCACUGUUUCGGCAAGGGGGUCAUCCCGACUUACCAACCCGAUGCAAACUGCGAAUACCGGAGAAUGUUAUCACGGGAGACACACGGCGGGUGCUAACGUCCGUCGUGAAGAGGGAAACAACCCAGACCGCCAGCUAAGGUCCCAAAGUCAUGGUUAAGUGGGAAACGAUGUGGGAAGGCCCAGACAGCCAGGAUGUUGGCUUAGAAGCAGCCAUCAUUUAAAGAAAGCGUAAUAGCUCACUGGUCGAGUCGGCCUGCGCGGAAGAUGUAACGGGGCUAAACCAUGCACCGAAGCUGCGGCAGCGACGCUGAUGCGUUGUUGGGUAGGGGAGCGUUCUGU
Molecule: ribosomal RNA, 632 nt
Filed under: Escherichia coli
Lineage: Bacteria; Pseudomonadati; Pseudomonadota; Gammaproteobacteria; Enterobacterales; Enterobacteriaceae
Description: partial 23S ribosomal RNA
Rfam family: Bacterial large subunit ribosomal RNA
Source: RNAcentral